Molecule: non-coding RNA, 351 nt
Organism: Leptonychotes weddellii (Weddell seal)
Lineage: Eukaryota; Metazoa; Chordata; Mammalia; Carnivora; Phocidae
Source: RefSeq, a predicted model, not a curated record
CAUUUUGCUUCUUUGUAUUUAUUUAUUCGUAGAGAAUUUCCCUAAGCAAUGUUCUGGAGAUACUCCUCAUUAAAACCAGGUCCAGCAACAUGGGAUCAUUGGCAACAUCUUUGGGAAAGAUGCUGCCUAGAGCUUGAGCUUCCAAUGACUUUCCAACGUUACCUGAGAGACAUAUAAAAAAGCUCUUCAGUUUCCUCAAGCCUAUCUGCCUGUACUGUCUGCUCUUUCUACUAAGGCGUCACCUUUGAAAGAUUUCAAGAAAGGAUUUUGGGACCCUAAAAGUGAAUAGGACCCCAAAAAUUAAUACACACUUAUGUACAGAUGCUAACCAAUCUCGAUCAACUUCAAUGA